CCCGCUGAAUUUAAGCAUAUCAAUAAGCRGAGGAAAAGAAACUAACAAGGAUUCCCCUAGUAACGGCAAGCGAACCGGGA
RNAcentral lists this non-coding RNA (80 nucleotides) under Nelumbo nucifera (sacred lotus). RNAcentral's name for it is "Eukaryotic large subunit ribosomal RNA". It matches the Rfam family "Eukaryotic large subunit ribosomal RNA", at positions 24 to 103 of the family's 3401-position model. Lineage: Eukaryota; Viridiplantae; Streptophyta; Magnoliopsida; Proteales; Nelumbonaceae. The record is from Rfam by way of RNAcentral.